AUAAAAAUAAAAAAUAAAAACUCAGAUCCUGUUUUUUUUCCCCCCCACACGCAGUUUCCUGUUUCUGUUAAACCCACGCGAUUUACUGUAAAGAAACCUUCAUCACCUUCUUGUAUAGAGCAAUCUGAUUGGUUAGUUAGCUGCCUGCACUGCAGAGUUUAACCCUUAAGCCAUCAAACUUUAGUGAGAACUCUCACUACCAUGUGCCAUGAUGUCACCAAUCAAUCAUUCCAAGGUCUGAGAGACUGAGGUGUUGCUGGCUGAUAAUAACUGUGUCCAUGUGUAUUAUGUUUCAUGGAUAUGAGAAAUAUAUUUCAAUUGUUUCACUCACAUUAUGCAUUUAAUUUCUGAUUCUGGCCCUGUGGUGUAGACAACAGCCUGGAUCCAUGACAGAUGCUUUAAACCGUCUCACAUUGUCAAACAAAUAUCUUGAAGAAAAAAACAGGACCCAGUUUUCAUUUUGCACUGAUCUGUCACUUUAAGAAUCAACUUUGAACAUGGGGAGUCAGCAUCAUUGGAGGAAAGAGAAGGCGUUCACCUACAUGUGAUUUAGGGUCAUACAAAUUAUCAGCUUAUAAAAAGCGAACAUUCAGUUACACCAGCUAAUCUCGUUCAGGUUUGUCUAGUCAUACAGUGUUACCGGUGCAGUGGAAUGGAAGCUGAUCUGAGGAUUAUUCUGGUGGGUAAGACAGGAGCUGGGAAGAGCAGCACAGCCAACACCAUUCUCGGAGAGAAGCUUCUCAAAUCGUCAUGUCGUGCAAACUCGGAUACA
Molecule: long non-coding RNA, 772 nt
Organism: Anguilla rostrata (American eel)
Lineage: Eukaryota; Metazoa; Chordata; Actinopteri; Anguilliformes; Anguillidae
Exons: 2
Source: RefSeq, a predicted model, not a curated record